Molecule: ribosomal RNA, 940 nt
Filed under: Laxitextum bicolor
Lineage: Eukaryota; Fungi; Basidiomycota; Agaricomycetes; Russulales; Gloeocystidiellaceae
Description: LSU rRNA
Rfam family: Eukaryotic large subunit ribosomal RNA
Source: RNAcentral
UAGCAUAUCAAUAAGCGGAGGAAAAGAAACUAACAAGGAUUUCCCCUAGUAACUGCGAGUGAAGCGGGAAAAGCUCAAAUUUAAAAUCUGGCGGUCUUUGGCUGUCCGAGUUGUAGUCUGGAGAAGUGCUUUCCGCGCUGGACCGUGUACAAGUCUCCUGGAAUGGAGCGUCAUAGAGGGUGAGAAUCCCGUCUUUGACACGGACUACCAGUGCUCUGUGAUGCGCUCUCAAAGAGUCGAGUUGUUUGGGAAUGCAGCUCAAAAUGGGUGGUGAAUUCCAUCUAAAGCUAAAUAUUGGCGAGAGACCGAUAGCGAACAAGUACCGUGAGGGAAAGAUGAAAAGCACUUUGGAAAGAGAGUUAAACAGUACGUGAAAUUGUUGAAAGGGAAACGCUUGAAGUCAGUCGCGUUUGCCAGAACUCAGCCUAGCUUCGGCUUGGUGUACUUUCUGGUGAACGGGCCAGCAUCAAUUUUGACUGUCGGAUAAUGGCAAGGGGAAUGUGGCACCUUCGGGUGUGUUAUAGCCCCUUGUCGCAUACGGCGGUUGGGAUUGAGGAAUUCGGCAUCCCCUUGUGGUUGAUGCUUAGGAUGCUGGCGUAAUGGCUUUAAACGACCCGUCUUGAAACACGGACCAAGGAGUCUAACAUGCCCGCGAGUGUUCGGGUGGAAAACCCGUGCGCGUAAUGAAAGUGAAAGUUGGGACCUCUGUUGUGGAGGGCACCGACGCCCGGACCAGACCUUCUGUGACGGAUCCGCGGUAGAGCGUGUAUGUUGGGACCCGAAAGAUGGUGAACUAUGCCUGAAUAGGGGUGAAGCCAGAGGAAACUCUGGUGGAGGCUCGUAGCGAUUUCUGACGUGCAAAUCGAUCGUCAAAUUUGGGGUAUAGGGGGCGAAAGACUAAUCCGAAGCCAUCUAGUAGCCUGGGUUCCCUGGCCGAAAG